CAAUGUUAUUCUGAUUUGAAUGUAUUUGUAAGCAACAACAAUUCGGGAUUGAUAAAUCAGCUUAUAUGCGAAAAACAGCUGAGACUUUCGUUUUAAAUACUCAAUUCGAACGCCUUGGAAAUGUUGAAAUUUUUGCUUACUUUUGGCACGGGUUUCUAUGCUGGUGCGUAUGCAGCACAAAACUAUGAAAUCCCAAAAGUAGACGAUCCAUCACGGGUAUAUGAACGAAUUGUUGAUUUUUUGGAUCAGUAUAGAAAAAAAUGAUGUAUUCAGUCGUCGCGAGAAUCUUAACAAGAUAUCAUCCUUUUGAUAGGGACUGAACAAUAAAAUGAUUUUUUUAAGAUGUUGUAGAGAGUCAUAUAUGGCAUCGUUGCACCUUUUGAUGAAUAAAAUUAGUGUUAAACUAAAAAUGCAAUUUGUUUCAAUAUAAA
This is a long non-coding RNA of Contarinia nasturtii (swede midge), 431 nucleotides long. RefSeq lists it as uncharacterized. The transcript has 3 exons. NCBI's taxonomy places the organism in Eukaryota, Metazoa, Arthropoda, Insecta, Diptera, Cecidomyiidae. The record is from RefSeq and is a predicted model, not a curated record.